Molecule: ribosomal RNA, 1848 nt
Filed under: Halorubrum sp. E3
Lineage: Archaea; Methanobacteriati; Methanobacteriota; Halobacteria; Halobacteriales; Haloferacaceae
Description: bacterial LSU rRNA
Rfam family: Archaeal large subunit ribosomal RNA
Source: RNAcentral
CCGUGAGGGGAACAACCCAGAGCCGGGUUAAGGUCCCAAAGUGUAGAUUAAGUGCGAUUCGAAGGUGGUCUCAAGCCCUAAACAGCCGGGAGGUGAGCUUAGAAGCAGCUACCCGCUAAGAAAAGCGUAACAGCUUACCGGCCGAGGUUUGAGGCGCCCAAAAUGAUCGGGGCUCAAAUCUACCACCGAGACCUGGCCGUGCCCUUGACAGGGGCAACCGCGUAGGUUGGCGUACUGGUCGGAUGGAAGCCCGGGCGAGAGCUCGUGUGGACCGUCCAGUAACGACAAUCCUGGUCACAGUAGCAGCGAUAGUCGGGUGAGAACCUCGACGGCCUGAAGAGCAAGGGUUCCUCGGCACUGCCGUUCAGCCGAGGGUUAGCCGGUCCUAAGGUGCACCGCAACUUGACUGCAUCAACGGGAAACUGGUUAAGAUUCCAGUGCCAUCGUGCAGUAAAAGUCGACGCCGUGUGGAACGCUGAGCCGGGCCUUCGCCCGGUCGAAUCGUGGAACCUCGUGGAAGCCGUCACGGCACGAAGCGAGAGAAGCGCGAGAUAGCGCAAGUCAGCCGUACAUAGGGCCCGUGAAAAGACGAGCACGAUGUCCGUACCGAGAUCCGACACAGGUGCUCUGGCAGCGCAAGCCAAGGCCUGUCGGGAGAACCGACGUUAGGGAAUUCGGCAAGUUAGUCCCGUACCUUCGGAAGAAGGGAUGCCUGCUCUCGACGGAGCAGGUCGCAGUGACUCGGGCGCUCCGACUGUCUAAUAACAACACAGGUGACCGCAAAUCCGCAAGGACUCGUACGGUCACUGAAUCCUGCCCAGUGCGGGUAUCUGAACACCUCGUACAAGAGGACGAAGGACCCGUCAACGGCGGGGGUAACUAUGACCCUCUUAAGGUAGCGUAGUACCUUGCCGCUUCAGUAGCGGCUUGCAUGAAUGGAUAAACGAGAGCGCCACUGUCCCAACGUUGGACCCGGUGAACUGUACGUUCCAGUGCGGAGUCUGGAGACCCCCAAGGGGAAGCGAAGACCCUAUAGAGCUUUACUGCAGGCUGUCGCUGAGACGUGGUCGCCGAUGUGCAGCAUAGGUAGGAGUCGUUACACAGGUACCCGCGCCAGCGGGCCACCGAGACAGCAUUGAAAUACUACCCGUCGGUGACUGCGACUCUCACUCCGGGAGGAGUACACCGGUAGCCGGGCAGUUUGACUGGGGCGGUACGCGCUCGAAAAGAUAUCGAGCGCGCCCGAAGAUCAUCUCAGCCGGGUCGGGAAUCCGGCGAAGAGCGCAAGAGCACAAGAUGGUCUGACAGUGUCAUUCCCAACGAGUGACGCUGACGCGAAAGCGUGGUCUAGCGAACCUACGAGGUUCCGGAAUGGGGCCCGUAGAUGACAGAAAAGCUACCUUAGGGAUAACAGAGUCGUCACUCGCAAGAGCACAUAUCGACCGAGUGGCUUGCUACCUCGAUGUCGGUUCCCUCCAUCCUGCCCGUGCAGAAGCGGGCAAGGGUGAGGUUGUUCGCCUAUUAAAGGAGGUCGUGAGCUGGGUUUAGACCGUCGUGAGACAGGUCGGCUGCUAUCUAUUGGGGGUGUCAAGGUACUUGACGUGAACGAACGUAUAGUACGAGAGGAACUACGUUUGGUCGCCACUGGUGUACCGGUUGUGUGAGAACGCAAUGCCGGGUAGCCACGCGACACGGGGUAAGAGCUGAACGCAUCUAAGCUCGAAACCCACAUGGAAAAGAAGUACCGAUGAGGUCACUCGUAGAAGACGAGUUCGAUAGACUCGGGAUGUACGCACCGAGGCAACGAGGUGUUGAGUCCACGAGCACUAACAGACCGAAGCCACAGUC